CACAAACACCCCGGCAGAUGGACACCUCCUGGCCCGCCGGCCUCUGUACCCCUCCGAAAUGGGAGUACCGCAGCAUCCCACAGGAGCAGCCGCGCCCACCUGAUGAGCACAGGUCUCGUCGUAGUGCAGGAUCAGCUGCAUCUGCAGGAGGCCCAGGUAGACGCCGUAGGUGAGCAUGCCCCCGGCGCUGGCAGCCAGCACGUUCUUGAGCACGCCCAGGCGCUUGCGGCGGUAGUAGCGGCGCUCCUCCUCCUCCUCGUUGUAGUUGGGGUACGCGCCCACCAGCUCGUCCAGCGGGGCCUCGGGCCCGUCCGGGACCCCGAGCAGGUCCUCGUCGCCCUGCGGCCCCGCAGCCCCCGCCAUCGGGUAGAGCGGCGGCUCCGCCUCCAUGGCCCGAACUACUGCGGACUCGCGGCGGUCGCCCCGGAGUCCCUGCGACCGCCCGGCCACUUCCUCCCGGCGGCCGGGACCUGCCCCCGCC
RNAcentral lists this long non-coding RNA (481 nucleotides) under Homo sapiens (human). RNAcentral's name for it is "LNC_000640". Lineage: Eukaryota; Metazoa; Chordata; Mammalia; Primates; Hominidae. The record is from RNAcentral.